UUAAAGGGAUACUUCACCGAUUUAGCAUUGAGCUUUGUAUCAGUAGAAACACAGUAGUAUUUUUGAAUGACCGUGCUUCCCUCAUUCAUGCCCCCUGAGACAAGAGAUCUCUUGGAGUGUUCGUGCCA
Sander lucioperca (pikeperch) is the source of this 128-nucleotide long non-coding RNA. RefSeq lists it as uncharacterized. NCBI's taxonomy places the organism in Eukaryota, Metazoa, Chordata, Actinopteri, Perciformes, Percidae. The transcript has 3 exons. The record is from RefSeq and is a predicted model, not a curated record.